UACGUAGGGUGCGAGCGUUGUCCGGAAUUAUUGGGCGUAAAGAGCUCGUAGGCGGUGUGUCACGUCGGCCGUGAAAACCUGCAGCUUAACUGUGGGCGUGCGGUCGAUACGGGCAUCACUGGAGUUCGGCAGGGGAGACUGGAAUUCCUGGUGUAGCGGUGAAAUGCGCAGAGAUCGGGAGGAACACCCGUAGCGAAGGCGGCACUCUGGGCCGGUACUGACGCUGAGGAGCGAAAGCGUGGGGAGCAAACAGG
This 254-nucleotide ribosomal RNA is filed under the name uncultured bacterium. RNAcentral describes it as "partial 16S ribosomal RNA". It matches the Rfam family "Bacterial small subunit ribosomal RNA", at positions 524 to 776 of the family's 1533-position model. The record is from RNAcentral.